CUUUUUCUACUAUCCUGG
RNAcentral lists this non-coding RNA (18 nucleotides) under Arabidopsis thaliana (thale cress). The record is from RNAcentral. Lineage: Eukaryota; Viridiplantae; Streptophyta; Magnoliopsida; Brassicales; Brassicaceae.